UCGAACGGUAACAGGAAGCAGCUUGCUGCUUCGCUGACGAGUGGCGGACGGGUGAGUAAUGUCUGGGAAACUGCCUGAUGGAGGGGGAUAACUACUGGAAACGGUAGCUAAUACCGCAUAACGUCGCAAGACCAAAGAGGGGGACCUUCGGGCCUCUUGCCAUCGGAUGUGCCCAGAUGGGAUUAGCUAGUAGGUGGGGUAACGGCUCACCUAGGCGACGAUCCCUAGCUGGUCUGAGAGGAUGACCAGCCACACUGGAACUGAGACACGGUCCAGACUCCUACGGGAGGCAGCAGUGGGGAAUAUUGCACAAUGGGCGCAAGCCUGAUGCAGCCAUGCCGCGUGUAUGAAGAAGGCCUUCGGGUUGUAAAGUACUUUCAGCGGGGAGGAAGGCGACAGGGUUAAUAACCCUGUCGAUUGACGUUACCCGCAGAAGAAGCACCGGCUAACUCCGUGCCAGCAGCCGCGGUAAUACGGAGGGUGCAAGCGUUAAUCGGAAUUACUGGGCGUAAAGCGCACGCAGGCGGUCUGUCAAGUCGGAUGUGAAAUCCCCGGGCUCAACCUGGGAACUGCAUUCGAAACUGGCAGGCUAGAGUCUUGUAGAGGGGGGUAGAUAUUCCAGGUGUAGCGGUGAAUGCGUAGAGAUCUGGAGGAAUACCGGUGGCGAAGG
Molecule: ribosomal RNA, 670 nt
Filed under: uncultured Enterobacterales bacterium
Lineage: Bacteria; Pseudomonadati; Pseudomonadota; Gammaproteobacteria; Enterobacterales
Description: bacterial SSU rRNA
Rfam family: Bacterial small subunit ribosomal RNA
Source: RNAcentral